Molecule: ribosomal RNA, 207 nt
Filed under: uncultured bacterium
Lineage: Bacteria
Description: partial 16S ribosomal RNA
Rfam family: Bacterial small subunit ribosomal RNA
Source: RNAcentral
CGCGUAGGCGGUUUUGUAAGUCGGAUGUGAAAGCCCUGGGCUUAACCUGGGAAUUGCAUUCGAUACUGCAGAACUAGAGUACGGUAGAGGGAAGUGGAAUUCCGGGUGUAGCGGUGAAAUGCGUAGAUAUCCGGAGGAACACCAGUGGCGAAGGCGACUUCCUGGGCCAGUACUGACGCUGAGGUGCGAAAGCGUGGGGAGCAAACA